UAGGGAAUCUUCGGCAAUGGACGGAAGUCUGACCGAGCAACGCCGCGUGAGUGAAGAAGGUUUUCGGAUCGUAAAGCUCUGUUGUUAGAGAAGAACGUUGGCAGGAGUGGAAAAUCUACCAAGUGACGGUAACUAACCAGAAAGGGACGGCUAACUACGUGCCAGCAGCCGCGGUAAUACGUAGGUCCCGAGCGUUGUCCGGAUUUAUUGGGCGUAAAGCGAGCGCAGGCGGUUCUUUAAGUCUGAAGUUAAAGGCAGUGGCUUAACCAUUAUACGCUUUGGAAACUGGAGGACUUGAGUGCAGAAGGGGAGAGUGGAAUUCCAGGUGUAGCGGUGAAAUGCGUAGAUAUAUGGAGGAACACCGGUGGCGAAAGCGGCUCUCUGGACUGUAACUGACGAUGAGGCUCGAAAGCGUGGGGAGCAAACAGG
RNAcentral lists this ribosomal RNA (429 nucleotides) under Bacillota bacterium. Its description in RNAcentral is "Firmicutes bacterium partial 16S ribosomal RNA". It matches the Rfam family "Bacterial small subunit ribosomal RNA", at positions 355 to 776 of the family's 1533-position model. Lineage: Bacteria; Bacillati; Bacillota. The record is from RNAcentral.